GAUGAACGCUGGCGGCGUGCUUAACACAUGCAAGUCGACCGAUGAUCCCAGCUUGCUGGGGGGAUUAGUGGCGAACGGGUGAGUAACACGUGAGUAACCUGCCCUUAACUCUGGGAUAAGCCUGGGAAACUGGGUCUAAUACCGGAUAUGACUCCUCAUCGCAUGGUGGGGGGUGGAAAGCUUUAUUGUGGUUUUGGAUGGACUCGCGGCCUAUCAGCUUGUUGGUGAGGUAAUGGCUCACCAAGGCGACGACGGGUAGCCGGCCUGAGAGGGUGACCGGCCACACUGGGACUGAGACACGGCCCAGACUCCUACGGGAGGCAGCAGUGGGGAAUAUUGCACAAUGGGCGAAAGCCUGAUGCAGCGACGCCGCGUGAGGGAUGACGGCCUUCGGGUUGUAAACCUCUUUCAGUAGGGAAGAAGCGAAAGUGACGGUACCUGCAGAAGAAGCGCCGGCUAACUACGUGC
Molecule: ribosomal RNA, 468 nt
Filed under: unidentified high G+C Gram-positive bacterium
Lineage: Bacteria; Bacillati; Actinomycetota; Actinomycetes
Description: bacterial SSU rRNA
Rfam family: Bacterial small subunit ribosomal RNA
Source: RNAcentral